RNAcentral lists this ribosomal RNA (331 nucleotides) under uncultured bacterium. RNAcentral's name for it is "bacterial SSU rRNA". It matches the Rfam family "Bacterial small subunit ribosomal RNA", at positions 568 to 898 of the family's 1533-position model. The record is from RNAcentral.
GGCGUAGGCGGCUUGUCAAGUCGGAUGUGAAAUCUCCUGGCUCAACUGGGAGGGUGCAUUCGAUACUAGCGAGCUGGAGUGCAGCAGAGGGAGGUGGAAUUCCCGGUGUAGUGGUGAAAUGCGUAGAUAUCGGGAAGAACACUAGUGGCGAAGGCGGCCUCCUGGGCUGUAACUGACGCUGAGGUCCGAAGGCGUGGGGAGCAAACAGGAUUAGAUACCCUGGUAGUCCACGCAGUAAACGAUGGAUACUAGGUAUGGGGAGUAUCGACCCUCUCUGUGCCGAAGCUAACGCUUUAAGUAUCCCGCCUGGGACUACGGUCGCAAGACUAAA